Molecule: non-coding RNA, 72 nt
Organism: Phrynosoma platyrhinos (Desert horned lizard)
Lineage: Eukaryota; Metazoa; Chordata; Lepidosauria; Squamata; Phrynosomatidae
Source: the annotation of a GenBank genome assembly
GCCAGUGCAGUGUAGUGGUUUGAAUGUUAGACUAUGACUCUGGAAAUCAGGGUUCGAUUGCCCGCUCAAGCA